This 253-nucleotide ribosomal RNA is filed under the name uncultured bacterium. RNAcentral's name for it is "partial 16S ribosomal RNA". It matches the Rfam family "Bacterial small subunit ribosomal RNA", at positions 524 to 776 of the family's 1533-position model. The record is from RNAcentral.
UACGAGGGGGGCAAAUGUUGUUCGGAAUCACUGGGCGUAAAGGGAGCGUAGGCGGGUUUCUAAGUCAGGUGUUUAAUCCCGGGGCCCAACCCCGGACAGGCACUUGAAACUGGGAAUCUUGAAUAGUGGAGAGGUCAGUGGAAUUGGGGGUGUAGCGGUGGAAUGCGUAGAGAUCCCCAAGAACACCAGUGGCGAAGGCGGCUGACUGGACACAUAUUGACGCUGAGGCUCGAAAGCAUGGGGAGCAAACAGG